GCAGAUGGAUACUAUAAUUCAUUAGUUAGUUGUAAUGUUGAGAUGAAUGCAUGUGGUGGAAGAACGUUACCAAAAGAAAAAGGGCUUGAUAAUUAGUACUUAAGCAACGCAAUGAGGUACCAACCACUUCCCGGUGAACCUCCGCCUCCGCCUCCGCCAGAGUACGGGCAGCCGCCACCUCCACCUCCACCUCCACCCCCACCAGAGUACGCGCCACCGCCACCUCCACCAGAGUACGUGCCACCGCCGCCACCUCCACUGGAGUACGGGCGACCACCACCUCCCCCAGCGUAUGCGCCACCGCCGCCACCACCAGACUACCCUCCCCCUCGUCCUCCUCCUGGCCCUCCACCACCUGGCUAUCAGGGUUACUUUUAUCCUCCGCCGCCGCCAACCCCGACCCCACCACCGCAGCCUUCAGUACAAGACAAUGAUGGCCCUGGCUGCUGUUCAAUCCUUAGAGGCUGGUAUGUACACGCUCACCCUCUCCCUACUGCUCUCACUUGCUAGCUUCCAGUUUCUUCCAUUAAUAGUUUGAUCAUAUCACGUUUUGCAGGAACUGAGUAAUCGUGUGUUUUACUCUUUUGCUCUUUUGUAUUUCUCUACUUUUUAAGGACAAAAUUAAUCCAAAAUUAAUCUAAUUUCUUGAUGAUAAUCAGCUCCAAACUUAUAAUUUAUAGUAAAAACUGAAAUUAUUUUCCAAUUGACACUAGGAUUAACUAUAACAAUAUAACAAGUUUUCAUUUUCUCAUUGCUUAUGAGUCGAUGACAAUCAGAUUUUAUUAAUUUUUAUUUCUAUUUUCAUCCAGUUCCUUAGCUUAAUCUAAAUUAUUAGAACUUUGGUGCAUAUCUAGUGUGACGUCUGCAAUUAAGCUUCUACUUUUAAAUGCCUAAAUUCUAGAUUGUAGGACGGUAAAUCUACUUUUUGGCUUCCUUAGUUUGUUCUUGUUCCACUGCUUCACCUUCACUGACCCCUUGUGUCUUGUAUACAUCGUUUUCAGUUUGGCUGCAAUUUGUUGCUGCUGGAUAUUGGACGCGUGCUGCCCUUAGGCCAUUUACAUACAUCUGCUCGACAAGCAUUCGUAUUAAUAAUAAUUAGUAUUGUUGAACUCAAUUACUUAUUUGAGGAGAGCGGAAACUCCUUACUCCCUACGUACUGCAUAAUUAAUCGCAGUGUUAAAAGCAAACUUAGCUAAUCGAUGGGCUACUCAUUGCAACGACGACACGAAACAUACUCAAAUUUCACCUCGUGUAAUUGAGCAGCCCACACCUUUGCGUCCUCGAUCAAAACACGUAGAGCAGAGGGAUCAUGCUCACUUCUCAGAUGGUAAGGCCUGCAGCUCUUCCGACCCCAAAAGAAAAACAAGGGCGGCUUUCUUAGCGGCUGGCAUGCCUGAUUUCUGAAACGCUAUUCUUGUUCUUUCAAUUCGAUGCAUUUAGGUUAUGUGACACUUUCGUAUACAAUACAAGAAGCUGGGCCAAGAUGGGCUAAACGGCCUUGGGAUCUUUGAUUGAAAUAAAUUGGUUGGUUUUGGUGUUCAUUCUUCUUUAGAGUGAUUUUCUGCUGAGCGCUCAUUUG
RNAcentral lists this long non-coding RNA (1579 nucleotides) under Malus domestica (apple). RNAcentral's name for it is "long non-coding RNA (MDOM_LNC016146)". Lineage: Eukaryota; Viridiplantae; Streptophyta; Magnoliopsida; Rosales; Rosaceae. The record is from RNAcentral.